UACCAGCACCCCGAGUGGUCGGGACGAUUAUUGGGCCUAAAGCAUCCGUAGCCGGCCUUACAAGUCCUCCGUUAAAUCCAGCUGCUUAACAGAUGGGCUGCGGAGGAUACUAUAAGACUAGGAGGCAGGAGAGGCAAGCGGUACUCAGUGGGUAGGGGUAAAAUCCGUUGAUCCAUAGAAGACCACCAGUGGCGAAGGCGGCUUGCCAGAGCGCGCUCGACGGUGAGGGAUGAAAGCUGGGGGAGCAAACCGG
This 253-nucleotide ribosomal RNA is filed under the name uncultured bacterium. Its description in RNAcentral is "partial 16S ribosomal RNA". It matches the Rfam family "Archaeal small subunit ribosomal RNA", at positions 474 to 727 of the family's 1478-position model. The record is from RNAcentral.